Molecule: ribosomal RNA, 492 nt
Filed under: uncultured bacterium
Lineage: Bacteria
Description: partial 16S ribosomal RNA
Rfam family: Bacterial small subunit ribosomal RNA
Source: RNAcentral
AGUGAACGCUGGCGGUAGGCCUAACACAUGCAAGUCGAACGGCAGCACAGUAAGAGCUUGCUCUUACGGGUGGCGAGUGGCGGACGGGUGAGGAAUACAUCGGAGUCUACUUUUUCGUGGGGGAUAACGUAGGGAAACUUACGCUAAUACCGCAUACGACCUACGGGUGAAAGCAGGGGAUCUUCGGACCUUGCGCGAUUGAAUGAGCCGAUGUCGGAUUAGCUAGUUGGCGGGGUAAAGGCCCACCAAGGCGACGAUCCGUAGCUGGUCUGAGAGGAUGAUCAGCCACACUGGAACUGAGACACGGUCCAGACUCCUACGGGAGGCAGCAGUGGGGAAUAUUGGACAAUGGGCGCAAGCCUGAUCCAGCCAUACCGCGUGGGUGAAGAAGGCCUUCGGGUUGUAAAGCCCUUUUGUUGGGAAAGAAAAGCAGCAGGUUAAUACCCCGCUGUUCUGACGGUACCCAAAGAAUAAGCACCGGCUAACUUCGCG